AACGCACCUUGCGGCCGCCGGUAAUCCGGCGGCCAUGCCCGUCCGAGCGUCGUUUCGACCCUCGGGACCCAUCUCCCCCCGGGGAGAAGGGGCCCCGGCCUUGGGCCAGCGCAAGCGCGUCCCCCCUCCGGGGGGUGGCGCGGCGCGGCCCGCAGACCAGCGGCGGCAGCACCGGCGAUGUCCCCUGCGCAGUAGCUUAUACAACUCGCAUUGGUCUCCCGGCGCGGCUCGCCUCGCAACCAAAACUUCUAAAGGUCGACCUCGGAUCGGGUAGGGAUACCCGCUAAACUUAA
Molecule: unclassified non-coding RNA, 293 nt
Filed under: uncultured Sordariomycetes
Lineage: Eukaryota; Fungi; Ascomycota; Sordariomycetes
Description: sequence contains ITS2
Source: RNAcentral